ACAGUGGUGGUUCAAUGAUAGAAAUCUUGCCUUUCAUGCAGGAGACCUAGGUUCGAUUCUCCGCCAAUGUA
RNAcentral lists this transfer RNA (71 nucleotides) under Loxodonta africana (African savanna elephant). It matches the Rfam family "tRNA". Rfam says of the family: Transfer RNA (tRNA) molecules are approximately 80 nucleotides in length. Lineage: Eukaryota; Metazoa; Chordata; Mammalia; Proboscidea; Elephantidae. The record is from Rfam by way of RNAcentral.